AUACUCUUCUGGUUCACAAGCAUGAUGACUGGGUGUCUUCAUGGCAUUGGGUGAGCAGUGCCUCCAUCAAACAUUUAUAUAGCCUGGAAAAUUACCCAUCCAAUG
Molecule: small nucleolar RNA, 105 nt
Organism: Perognathus longimembris pacificus (Pacific pocket mouse)
Lineage: Eukaryota; Metazoa; Chordata; Mammalia; Rodentia; Heteromyidae
Product: small nucleolar RNA U13
Exons: 1
Source: RefSeq, a predicted model, not a curated record